AGCCGAAUGGUGUAACGGUAACACUAACGACUCUGACUCGUUCAUUCUAGGUUCGAAUCCUAGUUCGGCUGCCA
RNAcentral lists this transfer RNA (74 nucleotides) under Candidatus Pullichristensenella avicola. RNAcentral's name for it is "tRNA-Gln". It matches the Rfam family "tRNA". Rfam says of the family: Transfer RNA (tRNA) molecules are approximately 80 nucleotides in length. Their secondary structure includes four short double-helical elements and three loops (D, anti-codon, and T loops). Lineage: Bacteria; Bacillati; Bacillota; Clostridia. The record is from RNAcentral. RNAcentral also lists the same sequence under 4 other names.